GAUGAGGAAGCAGUCUGUCAACUAUAAUAGAAAUGUAUCUCAUAGAGUAACUGUGUGGUUUCCUUUACUUACAGAACUACAUGCUAGAUCUCUGAGAAAGAACUACAAGACAGAG
This 115-nucleotide small nucleolar RNA is filed under the name Vicugna pacos (alpaca). The record is from RNAcentral. Lineage: Eukaryota; Metazoa; Chordata; Mammalia; Artiodactyla; Camelidae.